AACAAGGUGGUCGACUGGUUAAGACGAUGCCCUUCUAAUGGAUUGGAGUUUACCCGCGUGAAUUCGAAUCUCAUCCUCAUUG
This 82-nucleotide transfer RNA is filed under the name Dreissena polymorpha. RNAcentral's name for it is "tRNA-Arg". It matches the Rfam family "tRNA". From Rfam's summary of the family: Transfer RNA (tRNA) molecules are approximately 80 nucleotides in length. Their secondary structure includes four short double-helical elements and three loops (D, anti-codon, and T loops). The record is from RNAcentral. Lineage: Eukaryota; Metazoa; Mollusca; Bivalvia; Myida; Dreissenidae.